Molecule: ribosomal RNA, 569 nt
Filed under: uncultured bacterium
Lineage: Bacteria
Description: partial 16S ribosomal RNA
Rfam family: Bacterial small subunit ribosomal RNA
Source: RNAcentral
UGGGGAAUAUUGGACAAUGGGCGGAAGCCUGAUCCAGCAACGCCGCGUGAGGGAUGACGGCCUUCGGGUUGUAAACCCUUCUUCAGCACAGACGAAGCGCAAGUGACGGUAUGUGCAGAAGAAGGACCGGCCAACUACGUGCCAGCAGCCGCGGUAAUACGUAGGGUCCGAGCGUUGUCCGGAAUUAUUGGGCGUAAAGGGCUCGUAGGCGGUUUGUCGCGUCGGGAGUGAAAACACCGGGCUUAACUCGGUGCUUGCUUUCGAUACGGGCAGACUAGAGGCAUUCAGGGGAGAACGGAAUUCCUGGUGUAGCGGUGAAAUGCGCAGAUAUCAGGAGGAACACCGGUGGCGAAGGCGGUUCUCUGGGAAUGUCCUGACGCUGAGGAGCGAAAGUGUGGGGAGCGAACAGGAUUAGAUACCCUGGUAGUCCACACCGUAAACGUUGGGCGCUAGGUGUGGGAUCCAUUCCACGGGUUCCGUGCCGCAGCUAACGCAUUAAGCGCCCCGCCUGGGGAGUACGGCCGCAAGGCUAAAACUUAAAGGAAUUGACGGGGUCAUAGCUGUUUCCU